CUGUGACGUCAGCGGCGGAGCUGGGCUAGGGAUUCAGUGACGUCACUGGGCGCUCUUCCCCUCCCCCCCUAUUGCCCUACGUUGAAAAAGAAAAAGAAAAUUUGCCGUUUCGCAAAAGCCAAGGAAAUCAUUGAUCUGGGCAAUGAUCGUCGAUGGGCGUCAUAAAGCAGCAGAGCGAGCCAGGGAGGAGCAGAGAGAGAGGGAGACACAGAAUCCGAAGCAGGCUCCAGGCUCCGAGCUGUCCGCACAGAGCCCGACACGGGGCUCAAACCCACAAACCGCGAGAUCAUGACCUCAACCGAAGCCGGAUGCUUAACUGACUGAGCCACCCAGGCGCCUCACCACAAUUAAACAAUUUUAAAUGCUACCUUUCAUGCAAAAGUAGGUAGAGAGAGUGUGUGAACGGGGGAGUCGCAGAGAGAAUGGGGGACCGCUGUCAGCACAGAGCCCGACGUGGGGCUCAAACUCGCGAACCGCGAGAUCAUGACUCGAGCUGAAGUCAGAGGCUCAACCGACUGAGCCACCCAGGCGCCCCAGGAAAUAUGAUAAUAAACUCCGUCUUCCCAAUGAAUUCAGAGAGGUGUAAGGCCUUUCUCAAGUUCACAUAGGAACUGGAAUUUGAAUGCAGCUAUAUUGGGUUCAAAACUCUGAUUCUGUGUGGAGCACAAAAGAGCCUUCUGGUCAUGGGCCAGGCAGUCAAACUCAGACAGACAGCAAUUAUUUCCCAGCGAGUUUGUUCUUUGCCAGCCCUCGAGCCAGGCACUGGGGAUAUGGAGAAAAGGGCAGAAGGGUACGUCCCUGGAGAGUCGCUGGGAGAAGAGGAGGUGGGGGGAGCAUUUUAUUCAUCAGCCCUUUCAAAGCAGUACAAUCAGAUAUGACUCCCGCCUCCUGGAGCAUUGCCCGGGCCCAAGAUACCGCAGGGGGCAACAGAGGCCAGGAGUUUGUCAUGAAGAAAAGGACAAAGGGAUAAAGUUCGGAUCCAAAGAGAAUGUGUCAAGCACAAAUAACAGAAGUACACAGCGCUGCCCGCCGGCCCCGGGAUGUUUUAAGAUGCGCGUGUUGAAUCCUCCUUGUUUUACGGGUGAGAGAACCAAGGUACAGAGAGGUUAAAUGCCUUGCCUACUACGGUCACACAGCAGGAAAGAGGCAAAGGUGGGAUUCCAACGCAGCUCAGCCCAUCAUGGGAGCCCCUAGCAUUGUUUAUUUAAAUCGACGUGAAAUUGACGUAACGCAGAACUAUGUUAACGUGAACAAUUCAGCGGCAGAUUGGAUAGUCCCGAUGUUCUGCGACCACUACCUCUGUGCAAAACAUUUUCACCCCCGCAAAGGGAUACCCAGUAGUGAUCGCUCCCCAUUCUGUCCUCCUCCCAGCCCCUGGCAACCCACCAGUCCGCUUUCUGUCUCCAGGGAUGUGCUUAUUUUCGGUACUUCAGAUCAAGGCAAUCCUAUAAUAUGUGACCUUUUGGGUCUGGCUUCUUUCACUCGCUGUAAUGUUUUCAAGGUUCAACCACGCUGUAACGUGUAUCCGAACCUCAUUUCUUCUUAUGACCGAAUAGUAUUCCAUUGUAUGCAUCUACCACAUUUUGUCUGUCCAUACAUCUGUUGACGGGUCGUUCCUGCUGUUUGUGUGAAAAGCGCUAUCAACAUACGUGUACAUGUAACACCGAAA
This is a long non-coding RNA of Neofelis nebulosa (Clouded leopard), 1669 nucleotides long. RefSeq lists it as uncharacterized. The transcript has 4 exons. NCBI's taxonomy places the organism in Eukaryota, Metazoa, Chordata, Mammalia, Carnivora, Felidae. The record is from RefSeq and is a predicted model, not a curated record.